This 453-nucleotide ribosomal RNA is filed under the name uncultured bacterium. RNAcentral describes it as "partial 16S ribosomal RNA". It matches the Rfam family "Bacterial small subunit ribosomal RNA", at positions 339 to 795 of the family's 1533-position model. The record is from RNAcentral.
CUACGGGGCGCACCAGUGGGGAAUUUUGCGCAAUGGGGGAAACCCUGACGCAGCAACGCCGCGUGAAGGAUGAAGGCCUUUGGGUCGUAAACUUCUGUCAGAGGGAAAGAAAUACUCGUAAGAGAGAUGACGGUACCCUCAAAGGAAGCACCGGCUAACUCCGUGCCAGCAGCCGCGGUAAUACGGAGGGUGCAAGCGUUGUUCGGAAUUAUUGGGCGUAAAGAGCAUGUAGGCGGACUGUUAAGUCUGGUGUGAAAGCCCGGGGCUCAACCCCGGAAGUGCAUUGGAUACUGGCAGUCUUGAGUAUGGGAGAGGAAAGUGGAAUUCCGAGUGUAGGAGUGAGAUCCGUAGAUAUUCGGAGGAACACCAGUGGCGAAGGCGGCUUUCUGGACCAAUACUGACGCUGAGAUGCGAAAGCGUGGGGAGCAAACAGGAUUAGAUACCCGAGUAGUC